AUAAGGUAUGCAUUUUCACUGACGAUAGUAUGACCCUAAACAGAAUAAAUAAUGCUCGCCGUCGCCGUUAGCUUUAGCUUAUCGCAAGCUAGGACGAGGCCUGCGGUGCUUUUCUCGGUAUGUUCAAGCAGCAAACAGCGCAGUCGUGCGAGAACGGCGCUGCAGUCCUUUCAGACCGGCAAGUUCAAAUACUCGGUAUUCUACUAGACAUAUCUCGUUAUUGCAAGAAUACAGUAGCAUACACUUCUAGCUAUGUGUAACUAACUGUUAAAUUAAGGAAGCUGUAGGACGGUUUUCCACGCCGUACGAUUACACUUUUUUUCAAUGGAGUCUGGUGGCUUAUAAGCUCCAAGUCACCAGACUCCAUUGGAAAAAAAACAGAUUUUACGGCGUGUAAGACCGGUCUACAGCUGCCUUAAUUAAACGGUUAGUUUGUGGGUUCUAUUGUGUGGUUGUUGUAUUUCAGUGGAUACUAAUGAAUACUAGCGUUUUCGCUGGGACAUGUUGUGCUUUUCAGCCGUUCAGCCAGGCGGGCGCGUGCAUGCGGGCACACCAUAUAUAGUAUUAUGCUUCAUUCAGUGAUGCACUAAAUUGUGUGAUUAAAUUUGUUUAGUCCUCUACCUACAGUAAGUUAAUAAAAACGAAUGAAUUAAACUAAGAAAUUGGACGAAAUAUAUCAGAUAAACUCACCAUUGACGUUUUCCUGUUUGCUCUCUACUUUAGUACAUGUUACUUUGAUUUUGUAGUAAUGUUUUUUAUCCAUCUCUUUGUGUUUAAGACAAAUUACAUAACAGGACACAGACAGACCGCAGCAUUGAAGGGCCUUCCUUUAUUUCUCCGUGAGAGUCACGAGAAGCUGUUCAGGAAUUGUCUGGAUACUGACCCAGAAGAGGAGAAGACAAGGGGUCUCAAAGUGGGGAUACUUUCUGUGAUGGAGGAUCAAAGUUCUGCUCCUGCAAGACUUAAAAAUGUAGCUGUGGUUUUAGAAGAACAUAUCGUCUUACAAGACCUCCCUGACCUGCCAACGGCCCUUGCGUUGCUCUUUGGGCCGAUAUACGCUCUGAACAUCCAGUUUCCCAAGGAACUGCGAUACACCUUUGAAAUGUUUCAAAAGAUCUUUUUGGAGCUGGGGACAGAUCUCUCUGCAAGAGUCAGAUCCCUCAAAAACAAACUUCUUCUGUAACCCUGUGUCAGAACCUAAUGUUGAGCUGCAAGUUCUGUUGAAAACAAACUUGUUGGGCCUGUUUUAAAUUGUUAAUGUUCAUGCUGCCCUUUUGUAUAUUUACUUAUUUUACUCAGUCCCCCAAAUAUCUAUUCUCUUCCUGUCUAUAGGAAUAAUGCUGUAUUAUGCAUUUUAAUACAGCACGUGCUGAUAUUCCAAUGUUUUAAGAAAGCAACUGUUUCACCUGAUCGGGUGAGCUAUUGGUCUUCUGUGCUUUUGCACAGCACUUGAGACAUGCAAGACAUGUUCAAUAAAAAAAGAAUUGAAUUGAGA
Long non-coding RNA from Gadus macrocephalus (Pacific cod), 1495 nucleotides. RefSeq lists it as uncharacterized. The record is from RefSeq and is a predicted model, not a curated record. The transcript has 2 exons. Lineage: Eukaryota; Metazoa; Chordata; Actinopteri; Gadiformes; Gadidae.